This 253-nucleotide ribosomal RNA is filed under the name uncultured bacterium. RNAcentral describes it as "partial 16S ribosomal RNA". It matches the Rfam family "Bacterial small subunit ribosomal RNA", at positions 524 to 776 of the family's 1533-position model. The record is from RNAcentral.
UACGUAGGGACCAAGCGUUGUUCGGAUUUACUGGGCGUAAAGGGCGCGUAGGCGGCUUAACAAGUCACUUGUGAAAUCCCCAGGCUUAACCUGGGAACUGCAUCCGAUACUGGAUGGCUUGAAUCCGGGAGAGGGAUGCAGAAUUCCAGGUGUAGCGGUGAAAUGCGUAGAUAUCUGGAGGAAUACCGGUGGCGAAGGCGGCAUCCUGGACCGGCAUUGACGCUGAUGAGCGAAAGCGAGGGGAGCAAACGGG